Molecule: ribosomal RNA, 914 nt
Filed under: uncultured Halobacteria archaeon
Lineage: Archaea; Methanobacteriati; Methanobacteriota; Halobacteria
Description: bacterial SSU rRNA
Rfam family: Archaeal small subunit ribosomal RNA
Source: RNAcentral
CCGAGUGUGAGGGCAUAUAGCCCUCGCUUUUCUGUACCGUAAGGUGGUACAGGAACAAGGACUGGGCAAGACCGGUGCCAGCCGCCGCGGUAAUACCGGCAGUCCGAGUGAUGGCCGAUAUUAUUGGGCCUAAAGCGUCCGUAGCUUGCUGUGUAAGUCCAUUGGGAAAUCGACCAGCUCAACUGGUCGGCGUCCGGUGGAAACUACACAGCUUGGGGCCGAGAGACUCAACGGGUACGUCCGGGGUAGGAGUGAAAUCCUGUAAUCCUGGACGGACCACCAAUGGGGAAACCACGUUGAGAGACCGGACCCGACAGUGAGGGACGAAAGCCAGGGUCUCGAACCGGAUUAGAUACCCGGGUAGUCCUGGCCGUAAACAAUGCUCGCUAGGUAUGUCACGCGCCAUGAGCACGUGAUGUGCCGUAGUGAAGACGAUAAGCGAGCCGCCUGGGAAGUACGUCCGCAAGGAUGAAACUUAAAGGAAUUGGCGGGGGAGCACCACAACCGGAGGAGCCUGCGGUUUAAUUGGACUCAACGCCGGACAUCUCACCGGUCCCGACAGUAGUAAUGACAGUCAGGUUGACGACUUUACUCGACGCUACUGAGAGGAGGUGCAUGGCCGCCGUCAGCUCGUACCGUGAGGCGUCCUGUUAAGUCAGGCAACGAGCGAGACCCGCACUUCUAGUUGCCAGCAACACCCUUGUGGUGGUUGGGUACACUAGGAGGACUGCCAUUGCUAAAAUGGAGGAAGGAACGGGCAACGGUAGGUCAGUAUGCCCCGAAUGGACCGGGCAACACGCGGGCUACAAUGGCUCUGACAGUGGGAUGCAACGCCGAGAGGCGACGCUAAUCUCCAAACGGAGUCGUAGUUCGGAUUGCGGGCUGAAACCCGCCCGCAUGAAGCUGGAUUCGGU